AAAAUUAAUUGGGAAACAACAAAUGACUAAACAAAAGAGCAUCAUUUGAUCAUUAUUUUACCACGAGACAGACAAUGGAUCCAGAUCCAAUUGUGUGAAACCUGCCCAAGUAUGAAUCAGCAAUCACAGCUCCAACAAUCGGCAUGAAAUUCGUGGCGGCCGACUGAAGGGCGCGCGGCUGGAGAGGUAGAGGGUCGAGCAACGCGCGGCAACCCUCGACCGGAGCUGGGAAAAGGACGACAACUUGUCAGGACUCAGCGGCAGGUGUGGUGGUGGUGAGUCGCGACGACGACUUACAGGAAUUGGGGGGAGGAUUUAGGGAUUUCAUUUUAGAAAUUGGAGAUUAUUUUGGGCUCAGUAGAAUCAAAAUCUUCAGAGGAGACGGAAAGAUGGUCGAAGCGAGAUGGUGAGAGAUGAGAAAAGAGGGGUGAGAGAGGCGGCACCGCCGUCGAGAGGACGGCGGCGAAGAAGCGGAGCCUACAUGUGUGCGAUCGAGAGAGAGAGAGAGGUCAGGGGAAAGAAGAGAGAGAGGGGGAGAACGAGAGAUCGAGGAUGAGAGAAGAGAGUGGAGAAAG
This 575-nucleotide long non-coding RNA is filed under the name Salvia miltiorrhiza (redroot sage). RNAcentral describes it as "long non-coding RNA (SMIL_LNC001822)". Lineage: Eukaryota; Viridiplantae; Streptophyta; Magnoliopsida; Lamiales; Lamiaceae. The record is from RNAcentral.